CACCCCUAAAUGAUGUAACCUUGUGGUUUUUGCCUUUAAAAACUGAGCUUGCAGAGGGGCAGGCACCUCCUCCAGCCUCUCUUGUGUUGGAUGGCUGGAUGAGGGCCCUGCAUCUGCGGCCUGAACUGCUUCAAUAAACCUUGCUUUUGCAUUUCGCUCCAGGGAGUCAUCGGAAGAACUGCCUACUGCCUGUGCUCACUCUGCCGCCAGCCAAGGCAUUCAACAGGACCUGCUUUGGAGCUAUACCAAUGCCUCCUGCCGGCUGAAAAGUGCUGCUACACCCCUCAAAACCACGGAAAGGACCAAUUUGAUCCGGAGGGAAUGUUGGGCUUCUAAGACAUUUAUUUCCAUUUGGAAGUUUUUCUUCUUGGCACAAAAUGGCGUAUUGGGCAAAGAACUGCCCUUGCCUCAACUGCUGACAAUAUGAGUGCUGUCCUUCCUUACAAGUUGGACACAAGGAAAAGUGACUUCUGAACUCUGCCAAGACAGGGACAGUAGAGCAAGAAGUUGGGUGAUUCAUUUAAUCUCGCAUCUGUGAACAUCAGCAGAACCGUGGUUAUGGCAGGUUGUUUGAAAGUACUCUGUCUCCUUAGUCAAUUUAAAUACCAGAUUGGCUGCAACUGGCUUCAGCAGAACUGUGUUUGCUAGUCCAGCAUCCAUUCUGUCUGUGCUAUGUUGCAUAGCUUUGAUUCUCUGUGAGUCCUGUGGCCUUCAGUUCAACCCACUCCCUGACCAUCCAAUGGGAAUCAUCACAAUCCUGUACCUCAUUGACUCAGUGAGCUUUCAGCCAUGGCUGAAUGAAACAAAAGAUACGCAGCAGGGAUACAUUUGUGCAGAAACUAUCAUUCACCAUCCACUGAGGUCCAUCACGUCUGCUGCUGUGAUAAACCCUCUGACUGUAAUGCAACUUGUGGAGGAAAGAGUUUAUUGGACUUACAGAUUUCAGUUCAUCAUCAUGGGAAAGCCCAGGCAAGAACUCAAGCAGGUACAUGGAGACCAUGGAAUUGGAGCUCUCCUUAUUGUUUAAGGAAUAGGAAAUAGACUGUUUGAGACACUUGGGACAUGUCAAAAACAAAACACAGCAAAACCUCUGCUUUAGGGAAGCAGCAUCCAUCCUGAAACCAGAAAGCAGACAAAAACAGGACAGUUGCUGUUGCCAAGAGGCAAGAAAAGAUAUCACAUAGCCUACCACCAUCCUAGGAAGGAUCAAAAUUCUAAAUCUUAAAUCCUCUUUCUACUGAAUGCAGCUGGCUUCCACUCCCAGGUACAGUGAUAAAUGAUAGGUCCAUUCAAUAUAAAUCAGGGAUUAUUCAUCUGUGUCCUCAGUGUUAUUAAUCUCCUUUUUCAGCCCUACUUUCACCACAUUCCACAUUUUUUGGAAGCCGUGCUUUCAUUUAGUUAGGAAUAUUUUUUCAGUUCCUCUGGAGAUUUCUUCUUUGACCUGGAUGUUAAUUUAAAAGUAGUUGUUUAAUCCAACAGUAACUGGGUGCUCUCAGCCUCCAUCUACCCUUUCAUUCCCACUUAGCUCUGGAAGGCACUUAUGAUCUUUAUUUCUUUUAAAUUGCAAGUUUUUAAUGGCCCAAAGUUGUGGUGUCUCUUGGGGAAUGUUACACGUGAGCUCGGCUAACAUGUGUGCUGUGUUCCUGACGGGUAAAUUUCUUUGUAAAUGUUACUUACAUCCUGUUGACUGGGGACAGUGUUGAAUUCAGCUGUCUGCAGAUUUUCUGGCUGCUGGAUCUGUUUGUUUCUGAUAGCAUGACCUUAAAGUUUCCAACUGUAAUAGAUAGCUCGUCUGCUUGUCUUUGCAGUUCUUGCUGCUUUCUCCCAUAUGUUUUGAUGUGUUUGUUGUUGAAUGAAGACAUAUUGCAGGCUGUGAUGUAGUCAUGGUAACUGACCCUUUAAUAAUAACAAAAUGUACCUCAUUUAUACUUGAUGACUUUCCUUAACAUGAAAUCCAUCUUAUCUGAAAUCAUGUAUCUAUCAUGUUCUUUAACUGCUAUAAGCAUGUGACUUAUAUUUUACUCCUUUGUUACACUUAAUGUAAAUUUUCAGUUAACAAUAACAUGAGUCUUUUGCUUAUCUGUUAUUUGGUCCACCUGACAGUCUUUAAUCACAUUAAGUUUACUGGCAUUUGGAGUGGUUACUAUUACACUUAGAUCACAUCUACCAUAUUUGUUACUGUUUCCUAGUUAUCAAUAUUCUUUCUCCUUACUUUUGUACAAUUCCGUGUGUGUGUGUGUGUGUGUG
This is a non-coding RNA of Peromyscus maniculatus bairdii (prairie deer mouse), 2247 nucleotides long. The record is from RefSeq and is a predicted model, not a curated record. NCBI's taxonomy places the organism in Eukaryota, Metazoa, Chordata, Mammalia, Rodentia, Cricetidae.